This is a microRNA precursor of Cervus hanglu yarkandensis (Yarkand deer), 52 nucleotides long. The record is from Ensembl. NCBI's taxonomy places the organism in Eukaryota, Metazoa, Chordata, Mammalia, Artiodactyla, Cervidae.
CCUCUCGGUCCCAUAUUGAACUCGAGUUGGAAGAGGCGAGUCCGGUCUCAAA